This 483-nucleotide ribosomal RNA is filed under the name uncultured bacterium. RNAcentral describes it as "partial 16S ribosomal RNA". It matches the Rfam family "Bacterial small subunit ribosomal RNA", at positions 30 to 507 of the family's 1533-position model. The record is from RNAcentral.
UUGAACGCUGGCGGCAGGCCUAACACAUGCAAGUCGAGCGGAUGAAGGGAGCUUGCUCCUGGAUUCAGCGGCGGACGGGUGAGUAAUGCCUAGGAAUCUGCCUGGUAGUGGGGGAUAACGUCCGGAAACGGGCGCUAAUACCGCAUACGUCCCGAGGGAGAAAGUGGGGGAUCUUCGGACCUCACGCUAUCAGAUGAGCCUAGGUCGGAUUAGCUAGUUGGUGGGGUAAAGGCCUACCAAGGCGACGAUCCGUAACUGGUCUGAGAGGAUGAUCAGUCACACUGGAACUGAGACACGGUCCAGACUCCUACGGGAGGCAGCAGUGGGGAAUAUUGGACAAUGGGCGAAAGCCUGAUCCAGCCAUGCCGCGUGUGUGAAGAAGGUCUUCGGAUUGUAAAGCACUUUAAGUUGGGAGGAAGAGCAGUAAGUUAAUACCUUGCUGUUUUGACGUUACCAACAGAAUAAGCACCGGCUAACUUCGUG